Molecule: ribosomal RNA, 617 nt
Filed under: uncultured bacterium
Lineage: Bacteria
Description: bacterial SSU rRNA
Rfam family: Bacterial small subunit ribosomal RNA
Source: RNAcentral
AGAGUUUGAUCCUGGCUCAGGAUGAACGCUGGCGGCGUGCCUAACACAUGCAAGUCGAACGAAGCCUUCGGGCUUAGUGGCGGACGGGUGAGUAACGCGUGAGAAUCUCCCUUCAGGAUGGGGACAACCGUUGGAAACGACGGCUAAUCCCCAAUGUGCCGAAAGGUGAAAGGGUUUCCGCCUGAAGAAGAGCUCGCGUCCGAUUAGUUAGUUGGUGAGGUAAGAGCUCACCAAGGCAGCGAUCGGUAGCUGGUCUGAGAGGAUGAGCAGCCACACUGGGACUGAGACACGGCCCAGACUCCUACGGGAGGCAGCAGUGGGGAAUUUUCCGCAAUGGGCGAAAGCCUGACGGAGCAACGCCGCGUGUGGGAAGAAGGCUCUUGGGCUGUCAACCACUUUUCUCAGGGAAGAAGAUCUGACGGUACCUGAGGAAUCAGCCUCGGCUAACUCCGUGCCAGCAGCCGCGGUAAUACGGAGGAGGCAAGCGUUAUCCGGAAUUAUUGGGCGUAAAGCGUCCGCAGGGGGCGCAUCAAGUCUGCUGUUAAAGGCUGGAGCUUAACUCCGGUAGAGCAGUGGAAACUGGUGCGCUAGAGGGCGACAGGGGUAGAGGGAAUUCC